GCCGAGGUGGCGGAACGGUAGACGCACAGGACUUAAAAUCCUGAGACCCAUUUGGGUCGUGGGGGUUCGACUCCCUUCCUCGGCA
Non-coding RNA from Candidatus Woesebacteria bacterium RBG_13_46_13, 85 nucleotides. The record is from Rfam. Lineage: Bacteria; Candidatus Woeseibacteriota.